CCCUGCAGCUCUGCUCAUGCCCCCCGCCCGUGCCGCCCAAUUCCAAACCUUGGCUGCUCCCCACCGCUCCGCGCACGUCUCUCUGCGCCGCCGGUCCCCGGCUGCGCCCCCCUCUGCCGAGGAAGAGCACGGGCAUGGCGGACGAGGCGCAUCUUAGGUCUGCCGUGCCAGGCCCUUGGGCGGCGGAUUACCGGGAGAAGGCCGUCCACUACUGCACUACACCAUCAAUAUCGGUGAUUCGGUGGAGUCCCUUUAUGUCUUCUGUGCGUACACUCUUCCUGGUCCUAGCUUAGGAACUAGGAGCCGAGCUUAUGCCAUGGACCUUCUUCAGCUAACCCACCACGAUUAUACAUUUUACUUGAUGAUUCUUCUCACAGCAUUGGCCAACUGGUGAUAAUGUGAUAUGAGCAUCAAGCCCGAGACCAUUCAAUGCGGCUUAUGCGGGACCAAGCUUUGCCUUGUUGCUCAGGUGAGUGUCGUCGAUGUAGCAAGGCUUUACUAGUCGAAACAUCUUUAUUGGUCUGUUUUGUAAGGAAUCCGAGUGCUUCUGUGCUCUUGCAGUUCUCUGGAUUAACAUUGCAAACUGUGUUUACAUACUGAUCCGUGGUACUAGUAUAUACAGAACGUCUGCAUGUUGACACUAGUACUAGUAUAUACUUUCUGCCUCACCCUAUUCAGCAGUGGUCAUAAAACAAAAUUAAUGCGGUUCUAACCUAAGGUACAUGCGCUCGUGGCAAAGCUAAGCAUCGAGGAGAGGAUAAUCUUUGUGCUUGUUUGCUUGACUCCUGAAUGUGGACCUCAACCCCAAAGGUUAUAUGCGGAUUGAUUCAACCUGUUUACUAUAUAUCCAUGUUGGGAAUAGUUCUACAUUGUGUAUAGGCAAGUAUGAUUUAUAUGGUUGAGGGUGCAAUUACUAAUGGGCUAGCAUUUUGGGGGAGUGUUGGUCGAACGGACCUAAAGCCCGCUGCUACGCGUUCGGGCGCGUGUGACAUGGCCCGAUAGCCUAGAUGUGUGUGCGGACAACCUGGCGACCGUGCCAUGUGUCGGCGGUCCGGUUCCAACAAUCCAGACCUUUACAUGAUCUUAAGUCAGUAUGUCUUUUCUGUUUUUUGCUAAGGCAUCUUAAGUCGAAUGGGCCUUCUACGAUCCUUCCAGAAGAACAGAAUGAUAAAAAUAAAAUUCCUGAGAUCAACAGUGGCGAUUUUGAUCUAGAUGCCUUAGCCGAAGCACUCGAACAAUCGGCAACAUUAGCAUCUAAUUCAAAGAAGAAGAAUAAAUCGAAGCAUGCUAAUGCUCCUGUAAAACGUCCUGUACUGAAGGCGCAAGCAUGUGAUCUUAGCAUACCAGGUGUGCACAAGUUUAAAAGAACUCGUUACCAUGCAUGCAAAAUCUGAAUAUCUGAUUGUUUUGAUCUGAUAAAAUCCUGUUGCAGUUCUUUCUUGUUUUACAUAUAUUAUGAUAAUUGAUAAAGGUACCGUGGGAUCAAAUAUCAGUGAGUUGGUUUUGGACAAAGAAACCAUGGAUGCCGCAAAUGACGGAGAAGAAAAAUGGGAAGGUGAAAAGUAUGAGUACCAUAAAGCUAUUGGUGCUGACAGAACUUUUUCGAAAUUCGAGAAACGAUUAUUAGACAAGAUUGAAUAUGAGCAUAUCAUUGAAGAAUUUAUUUAAAGGAACCCUAAGAGAAUGAAGUUGUUCAAGUAAAAUUCAUACAAUAAAGAGUUAAAUAGGUAUUUUUUUCAUAAACUCCAUUUCUAUGUACUAUAUUACAACAUUUUAAUACUUACAAUUAUGUUUUUAAAUAGUUUAGUAUUUUAUACAGGGCCUCAUUUUCUCCUGGCAUGGCCCUGUUGGUACUGGGGUGAAACCAGACAUUGUUCAUUGUAUUCUUUUGUUUACAGUUCCCCACUCUGCACUAUUGCAGUUCCCCACUCUGCACUAUUGCUUAACUCUGUGUCAAUUUACCGUAGAGCUGCUGCCCGUCCUCGUGCGGUGGAAAGCCUCAGAGCGGUCGGGGUGCAGCGGAGACCUAGCCAGGGCCAACUAAGAAACUAUUCCUGAUUGUGCAUGUGAUGCACAGUGUUUUCCAAUUGUCAAUAAGAGCUGUAAAGCAACCUGCAAUUUUGCGGUAUGUUUUGUGGCUGCUUCGUGCCCCAGUAUCCUGCAGCCUGUCAUACAUAGCUCACACGAUUUGGCCUAUUGCAAGUUCGCACAGCAAUACAGCAUGAUUCCAGGCUUGCGAGAUGUUUGUCAGUGUGGCUAUUCUUCUGGCUGCAAAACCAUUUUUGUACCCUGUCUUUUUAGGUGCAUGAAUUGUGAGCUCCAAUCAAUCAAGGGUGGGCAUGUUACGAGCAUCAAGAGAUAUGAUCCGGGCCUGAUAAUAAUAAUUGCAAGAAAGCAGCAUUUCUCUGGAUUAAAGUACAACUAUAUUAAAGUGGCAAAACCGUACCGCAGCCGAUAUAUAAUGGAGCGCAUAAUUCAUCGGCUGUAUUAUUCUCGUCGCCAACCCUACCUGCACUGACGCUGAUGCUUCAUUUGCAACUUGGCUCUCGGAUCGCCCGGAUGGUGCCAGCCAGGCUGCACCUGCACAUAAAUAAAUUAUUAUCCAUAAUAUUGUAGGUGUUUUUGCAUCCAUCAAUCCAUGUUUUCUCCGUUUGAAGAAUCUGUACGUACGAAAAGGAUGUGGAUGUAGUAUUAUACACCACUCACGCCUGGCAAUCUUUUCUUUGUAGCUGUGAUGUGGUAAGUUCAUCGGAAAAAUAAAUAAAUGUC
This is a long non-coding RNA of Zea mays, 2769 nucleotides long. RefSeq lists it as uncharacterized. The record is from RefSeq and is a predicted model, not a curated record. The transcript is spliced from 3 exons. Lineage: Eukaryota; Viridiplantae; Streptophyta; Magnoliopsida; Poales; Poaceae.